GGCUGGUUUGCUCAGUGGUUUGAGCGCAGUGCUGACAACAAUGACAACACUGGGAUCGCGGGUUUGAUUCCCGCUCAGUCC
Molecule: transfer RNA, 81 nt
Filed under: Apaloderma vittatum (bar-tailed trogon)
Lineage: Eukaryota; Metazoa; Chordata; Aves; Trogoniformes; Trogonidae
Rfam family: tRNA
About the family: Transfer RNA (tRNA) molecules are approximately 80 nucleotides in length.
Source: Rfam by way of RNAcentral